AGCCUUAUACAAAAUGGAAUCAUAAUAGGAUCUUGGAAACCUGUUAGAAAUCAGCUAAAUAGAUUUAAACACUUCAAAAACCUGGAAAUUAAUUCUAGUUUUCUGCAACAACUUCACCGUGUUGCAGAACCUUCCUUCAGUCUUCAAAACCUAACUAUAUCCUUGUGUCUUCUAGCUUAAGUCUAUAAAUUCCUUUGAGGUAAGAUGGG
This 209-nucleotide long non-coding RNA is filed under the name Carica papaya (papaya). RNAcentral describes it as "long non-coding RNA (CPAP_LNC005841)". The record is from RNAcentral. Lineage: Eukaryota; Viridiplantae; Streptophyta; Magnoliopsida; Brassicales; Caricaceae.